Molecule: small nucleolar RNA, 66 nt
Gene: SNORD24
Rfam family: Small nucleolar RNA SNORD24
About the family: U24 is a member of the C/D class of snoRNA which contain the C (UGAUGA) and D (CUGA) box motifs.
Source: Ensembl
GGACAAUGAUGUUUAUAUAUUUGCUAUCUGAACUACUGUGGACAACCCACCAAGAUCUCUGAGUCU